AUCCAAUGGUUGUAAUUUUAAUACCCACCCACUGGAUAACUCUUGUGCAUCCAACUUUUACCUCUCAAAGGACCAUCAUAUAUUACUAAAUAGUCUCAAUUAAUGCUUCUCCUCUAUAAAAUGUGACCAGGACCCUCAAGCCCUCCCCACCUAUCUCCCUUUGUUCUUCCCCAAAGCCUUCUUACUCUCUUUCAUUUACCUGGAAGAAAAAAGAAGAGAGUUCUUCUUCCAGUUCAAAACUAGUUCACCCAAGCACCGACCUUUCAUAUACCUUCAAACC
RNAcentral lists this long non-coding RNA (280 nucleotides) under Phoenix dactylifera (date palm). RNAcentral describes it as "long non-coding RNA (PDAC_LNC006065)". Lineage: Eukaryota; Viridiplantae; Streptophyta; Magnoliopsida; Arecales; Arecaceae. The record is from RNAcentral.